UGAGGAAUAUUGGGCAAUGGGCGCAAGCCUGACCCAGCAACGCCGCGUGAAGGAAGACGGUUUUCGGAUUGUAAACUUCUUUUAAGAGGGACGAUAAUGACGGUACCUCUUGAAUAAGCCACGGCUAACUACGUGCCAGCAGCCGCGGUAAUACGUAGGUGGCAAGCGUUGUCCGGAUUUACUGGGUGUAAAGGGCGAGUAGGCGGACCUGCAAGUCAGAUGUGAAAUCCCCGGGCUUAACCCGGGAACUGCAUUUGAAACUGCAGGCCUUGAGUGAUGGAGAGGCAGGCGGAAUUCCCGGUGUAGCGGUGGAAUGCGUAGAUAUCGGGAGGAACACCAGUGGCGAAGGCGGCCUGCUGGACAUUAACUGACGCUGAGGAGCGAAAGCGUGGGGAGCAAACAGG
This 404-nucleotide ribosomal RNA is filed under the name uncultured bacterium. RNAcentral describes it as "bacterial SSU rRNA". It matches the Rfam family "Bacterial small subunit ribosomal RNA", at positions 355 to 776 of the family's 1533-position model. The record is from RNAcentral.